AUGCCAUCUUGGGGACACUUUCAGAGCUAUCCUUUGAAUCUUUCCCAUGCUUCGUACAAGGAUUCACUUUCUUUUUGUUCAAAAGCAGUAAUUUAUGCUUUGAGCCU
This is a small nucleolar RNA of Gastrolobium bilobum, 107 nucleotides long. Lineage: Eukaryota; Viridiplantae; Streptophyta; Magnoliopsida; Fabales; Fabaceae. The record is from RefSeq and is a predicted model, not a curated record.